CUUUGUAUGAUAGCGAAAGACAGUAAAGCUAUAUGAGAGUAAAAGGGCAAAAGUAAAAUAAUACAAAGUAGUAAGGAAAGCCCAAGCUAAGGCUACAUAAUGCAGUGUGUCACAAAAUUUAUCCAGGUGUUUCUUGCUUUAAAACACUAGGAAAAGAACUCAAACCCUGUUCUGUUGUUACAAUCUAACACACUUAAGGUUAGCAGUUUGCGUCAAGAGAACCGUUUUCCUUCCUAUGACUUUUAGAAAUAAUUUGCCACAUGCUAAUAGAGUCUUUCUAAGAAGGUGACAUUUGAGCAGAGACCUGAGGGAAUGAGCUUGGAAGCUCUGGAGAAAGCAUUCAUGCAAUGUCAAAAUUCUGGCUAGGAAUGAAGCUGCCUGGUACAAGGAGCAGCAAAAAGGACCAUUUGACUAGAGUGGUGUGAAAAAGGAGGAUGAGAUGAGGUGGGGAGGAAACCACAAGCUAGGUCCCUUAGUGCCUUUUAGACCAAAAUAUGUUUUUGGAUCUGGAUGCGAAGGCCUUCAAAUAAAGUGGUUGAUUAAUUAGUUGUACUAUAAUAUUUCCUGGCAAGGCCUUUGGGAUCAGUAGUAGAAUAACAAGCAUUACAGGAGGUACUGAGAUUUUUCUCCACAAUUACUUAUGUCUGCUAAUAACCUAUUUUCAGAAUUUACAUUUGUUAUGGUCCUCUUCGGUAAAGUUCCUCCUUUGGAAAUCCAGUUCAUAAAAGUUGCUUUUAAAGGUUAUUGAUAUUACUUUCCAUCUCACUUGUUUUACUUUUUAACUUUUUAUUGAAGUACAACAUGUAGAUAACACAAAUCUGAAGUCUGCAAUGAAUGAAGUUGUUUUACAUACAUGUAUAUGUACAUGUACAUGUAUAUGUACAGAGCAACAAUAUAGAACACUUUUAUCCUCAAGUUUUUCUCAUGCUUCUUCCCAACCAAUAAUUUUCCUUUCCCACCAGACAACCCUUAUUGUGACCUCCAUCACCAUCAAUUAGUUUUGCUUGUUCUUGUACUUCACAUAAACAGAAUCAUAGGCUAGAUACUCAGUUGAGUGUAGGUACCUGUAGGUAAAUGUUGCUUUAAACAUUUUGUGGGAAUCAUUUAUAUUGCUGUAUGAAGUGGUAGUUUUUUUCAUUGCUUUGUAGUGUUCCACUGUAUAAAUGUAGCACAGCUCACUCUAACAAUGGGCAUGGAAUGAGACUGCUUGUGUCCAAAUCCUGGUUUCGUGAUAACUUUAUAACCUCAGAAAAGUUCCUGUUAUCACUCUGGAUCAGAAUUCCUGUCUCUAAAUUGGAACAAAAUAGGACCUUGAAAGGGUUGUUAGGAAGAUAAGUCAUGGGAGGUAUAUGUUGAGUCCCGUUGCUCUCUAUAUUCUAGCCACUUUGGCUUUCUUUCUGUUUCUUGAAUUUGUCAUGCUCAGUCCUGUUGAGCAGCCUUUGGGCUUGCAGUUCCUUUUUCCUAAAAUAUAUUAGCUGUCUCCUGACCUAGCUCAUGGUUUGCUUGGGAAUGCUCAUCACCUUAGAUUUCAGGUGAAAUGUCACCUUGUCAGAGAAGCCAUCUUCCGUGACCACCUUAUAUUUAGUGUGGGCCUUAGUGUAAGUUUAAAGAGGGCAGGAGUUUUUGUGUAUAUUGUUUACCACUGUGUUCUUAGUGUAGUGCCUGGGAGACUAGGCACCCAAAUGUGCUAAAUGACUCGUACCAUAAUUGUUUCAAGAACUUCGAGGUGGGUAUUUGCAUUUUCUAACAAGGAAACAGGUUAAAGAGAUUUAACUUGCUCCAGGUUAUAUAGUUUAGAAGAGGUAGGUCUCUGGGUUUAGUGUGUUGGGGUCAUCUUCUGGAGGAGGGGUAGGAUUGGGGUUAUGAGAUAAAAUUAAAGGUUUGGUAGCUGACUUUGAAGCAUCUGAUCACAGAUAACUUUGUUGAGAGCAUAGCUGUUUAGCAUAAAUGUGAUGGUACAAGUUCUCCAUGGUGAUGUGUGUUUUUUUCUCCAGGAGUGUUAGGCAGUUGAGGAAGGGAGAAGGGUUGAUACUAUUUAUUACCUAUGAUUGGGAAUUAGCUGUAGCUGGAAGAAAACAGAAAAUGGUGUUAAAUUGAGAUACCCAGAGCUAAAGGCCUUCGAACUUUUUGUCAGUCUGAGCAAUGCUGUUUUUGCUUUUAACCUUAAAACCAAGGUAACCUUUUACCUUGUUGGGUGGAAUUUUAUUUAUUUUGUUUUUAUAUUUUACUUUUUAUUGAAUGUAUUGGGGUGACAUUUUAAAAGAGCUUAGAACUUUAAAAAUUUGGAAAUCUGUUUCUAAGAGAUCCAAGUCUUAAACAAUCUUACUGCCUUGGAAAGGAGUUUUUCCUCUAUUCUGGGUUACCAGCUACUUCCUUCACAGUUACCUUAGUAGAGAUUUCAGCAUAAUUAUAUUUUACAGUUCACGAGGUUUUUUAAAUUUUUUAUUUUUUGAAUUGCUUCACUGAAACAUCUCAUUUUAUCUGAGUAAGUAUAACUUUGGACAUAUUUACAAUAUGUUUCCAGUUGGUCUCCAUUAAAUAAUAACUUUUUGUCACUGUGAUUCAUUUUUUGCGUGUUUUCAGAUCCUUCCCUUUAGUCCCUUUGUAUUCCAGCAGCCAGCAACUGUUGUCACAGAAACAGUAGAACUCUGAAAACAAGCCACAAGUCAGGUGUAGUUCAGUGCAGCCACAACUUAUUUUAUCUUCACUUUUUCUGAAUU
Long non-coding RNA from Phyllostomus discolor (pale spear-nosed bat), 2720 nucleotides. RefSeq lists it as uncharacterized. The record is from RefSeq and is a predicted model, not a curated record. Lineage: Eukaryota; Metazoa; Chordata; Mammalia; Chiroptera; Phyllostomidae. The transcript is spliced from 2 exons.